Molecule: ribosomal RNA, 253 nt
Filed under: uncultured bacterium
Lineage: Bacteria
Description: partial 16S ribosomal RNA
Rfam family: Bacterial small subunit ribosomal RNA
Source: RNAcentral
GACGAACCGUCCUAACGUUGUUCGGAAUCACUGGGCUUAAAGGGCGCGUAGGCGGCUUGCCAAGUCAGGGGUGAGAUCCUGCAGCUUAACUGUAGAAGGGCCUUUGAUACUGGCGAGCUCGAGGGAGGUAGGGGUAUGUGGAACUUCCGGUGGAGCGGUGAAAUGCGUUGAUAUCGGAAGGAACGCCGGUGGCGAAAGCGACGUACUGGACCUCUUCUGACGCUGAGGCGCGAAAGCUAGGGGAGCAAACGGG